CUGUCCUGUAGUUUUCCGUAUUCAACGUUUAACCGUCUGUUUUUUUUAAAAAUAUAUAAUUAGUAUUUUUGUUGUUAUUAGAUAAUAAAACAUGAAUAGUCCUUUAUGACUAACUUAUUUUUUUAUUUUUUUUAUAAAACUUUUAAUAGGACGAACGGUCAACCACAACGGCACUUAUA
RNAcentral lists this microRNA precursor (179 nucleotides) under Oryza barthii. RNAcentral's name for it is "MIR812 microRNA precursor family". The record is from Rfam by way of RNAcentral. Lineage: Eukaryota; Viridiplantae; Streptophyta; Magnoliopsida; Poales; Poaceae.